RNAcentral lists this ribosomal RNA (501 nucleotides) under uncultured bacterium. Its description in RNAcentral is "partial 16S ribosomal RNA". It matches the Rfam family "Bacterial small subunit ribosomal RNA", at positions 30 to 523 of the family's 1533-position model. The record is from RNAcentral.
AUUGAACGCUGGCGGCAGGCUUAACACAUGCAAGUCGAGCGGAGAUGAGGUGCUUGCGCCUUAUCUUAGCGGCGGACGGGUGAGUAAUGCUUAGGAAUCUGCCUAUUAGUGGGGGACAACAUUCCGAAAGGAAUGCUAAUACCGCAUACGUCCUACGGGAGAAAGCAGGGGAUCUUCGGACCUUGCGCUAAUAGAUGAGCCUAAGUCGGAUUAGCUAGUUGGUGGGGUAAAGGCCUACCAAGGCGACGAUCUGUAGCGGGUCUGAGAGGAUGAGCCGCCACACUGGGACUGCGACACGGCCCAGACUCCUACGGGAGGCAGCAGUGGGGAAUAUUGGACAAUGGGGGGAACCCUGAUCCAGCCAUGCCGCGUGUGUGAAGAAGGCCUUAUGGUUGUAAAGCACUUUAAGCGAGGAGGAGGCUACUGAGACUAAUACUCUUGGAUAGUGGACGUUACUCGCAGAAUAAGCACCGGCUAACUCUGUGCCAGCCGCCGCGGUAA